UCACAGCCUCGUGAAUGCAGUGUAUGUCUCCCGCAGACAUGAAACUACCGACUCGUGUUUGGCUUGGUCCGAACGAGUGACUCUGUUUUCGGUGUAAAUAACUUGCUGAAGUUGACACCACACUGUUUCCCUGGAGGAGAAGAUGAGUGCGUUGGAAAGUAAAACUGCUGGCCCAGUGUGGACGAGGCGAAGCGGAGAGGAUGGGCCAGCUAGAGAGAGAAGCCAUCGCUAACUGCUAAGCUAACUCUUAGAUCUGAAAAGCGUGUUAACAACUGUGGGAUUAGCGAGAAAGUUGCUAAAAGUAGAAUAAAGAAUCGAGUGCUUUAGCGGAAGUAGUGCAUGUUUAAAUAGGUAUUAACUGUUAAGUUUUUACAUAAACAUGACUUUCUCUACGGCUGUAUUUGGUAGGAAGCUCUCCGUCUCUUCACAGCUCUGAUGCAUAAAGCCGGCGCCACAAAGCAGAGCGAGGGAGGCCGUCACUGCCGAGACUCGCUGAAUGUCCGGAUUUGCAGUGCGGAAAACAACGGCAUUGUAUUUGUUUUCCAGCUGCCUGUACUAUGACGUACUAAGACCUACUAUGAGCCAGUAUGAAGGAGCUUCCAGUACAUUCAACUAGACCUUGCAUCAGCAUUGAGGAGUUCAGGAGUUGUCGGAGAAGAAAGAGGCUGAUUGAAGUGGGACAGAUGACAUGGAUCCAUCCUUCCACAGCCAGGAGCUCACCGACCUGUAUGCCACACUUCAAAUAAGACUAGAGGCUACACUGGAUCUCACAGCUACACACCACAGACGUCUACACACUGGGGCAGAUUCGGACAGAGUCCCACAAAGAACGUAUGACCCAGAGGCUGCAAAGAGACAUUUCAAGCUUCACCUGAUUAGUUUUUCACUGGCUAGGCCAGUUGUGUUUGUACAAUAUUUGUGCUGUAAGUAAAUAAAGCUUUGACUCAUCA
Pleuronectes platessa (European plaice) is the source of this 950-nucleotide long non-coding RNA. RefSeq lists it as uncharacterized. The record is from RefSeq and is a predicted model, not a curated record. NCBI's taxonomy places the organism in Eukaryota, Metazoa, Chordata, Actinopteri, Pleuronectiformes, Pleuronectidae. The transcript is spliced from 4 exons.